RNAcentral lists this long non-coding RNA (489 nucleotides) under Mytilus galloprovincialis (Mediterranean mussel). The record is from RNAcentral. Lineage: Eukaryota; Metazoa; Mollusca; Bivalvia; Mytilida; Mytilidae.
CGUUAAUUGAAGAUUUUACAGAAUAAGCGUUAUAUUUAAAGAUAAAGAACAUUUAGGUCCAUACUUCAUAUGGACCCUUAAAAAUCGUUGGAUUAUCUCGGUGUUGCUGGUCAGUAAUGAAUAAAAAAUCACUGGUCAAUUUAAAGGUUGUUGUAAGUGAUGCAAUAUAUUCUUAUUUUCCUGUUCCCCUUAUGUAACUUCCAGUUUUAUUGAAGUUUACAUCCAUCAAAGCCUUAGUUUAAUUUAGUUUCCUGUUAUUACUACCCCCCUUUUAUUUGUCGCAUGUUGUGUAUCAUGUACUGAUUCUAUAUAUACUUCGAGCAUACAUAUGUACACUUAUGGAACAAUAACCAUUUAGUAAACUUUUUAAAACGUUUUUGUAGACUUGUAUACAAUAAAUUUUAUACAGAACAAAAAAGAUAUUAACAAAGAUGUCAGUUUGUCUGCGUGUUUUACUUGUUAACUUGCAGAUGUAUAAAUAACCACACG